AUACUACUCCCUUCUUCUUAAAAUUCUUGUCUUACAUUUAUUUAGAUAUGAAUGUAUCUAGUCAUGUUUUAGUAUUUAGAUAAAUUCAUUUCUAAAGAAAAGACAUGAAUUUUGGGACGGAGGGAGUAUAUA
Molecule: non-coding RNA, 132 nt
Organism: Hordeum vulgare subsp. vulgare (domesticated barley)
Lineage: Eukaryota; Viridiplantae; Streptophyta; Magnoliopsida; Poales; Poaceae
Source: Rfam